UUGAGCCUACCUGGUAUGAACCUCUGGCAUCUCUGGACGGAGUUGUAGCACACGCAGCUGUUCCCGCACGGGAAAACCACCGACUGCUCAUCGAAGAAACACAGAUUGUUGCGCACACCUGUCCGCAGACCGAAGAUGAAAUGAGCCUGGGCAACAACGCUGGUCAUUCUGUUGUCGUUUACAGACUUUAAACUUAACUAAAUCUAUAAAGACUCUCCACGCAUGACGCCUACUUCCACCAAUAUAACCAACAGCCAGUGGAAGGAGUGAUAUAUGGAGGACACCUGCUGCACAUCACUCAUGUGGACAUUCAAGAUAAGGUCUCUGAGCUGCUGGAGCAGCUGCAGGAUGUCCACAAGUUUCUCCUCCACCAACGACAGGCGAACCCUCUCUGUCUCCAGCAUCUGCAGCUCCAUCUGAAGCAGCUCAGUCUCCUCGGCCUUCUGCUGCAGCUCCUGCACCAGGGAGUCCUUCAUCUGGAAGACACAACACACACACCGGUCACACUCAAAGAUCAGAACGUGCAACAUUGUGUGACUGUUUAGCUGUAAUUUGAGAAAGUUUUGUGACCUGGCCAUUUUUUUCCUGCUUCAAAACAUCAUUUCAUAGCUCUAAUGAAGUGUUUCUCAAAUGGGGGUACGCGUACCCCCGGGGGUACUUUGGAG
Long non-coding RNA from Perca flavescens (yellow perch), 665 nucleotides. RefSeq lists it as uncharacterized. The record is from RefSeq and is a predicted model, not a curated record. Lineage: Eukaryota; Metazoa; Chordata; Actinopteri; Perciformes; Percidae. The transcript has 3 exons.